Molecule: ribosomal RNA, 210 nt
Filed under: uncultured Entrophospora
Lineage: Eukaryota; Fungi; Glomeromycota; Glomeromycetes; Entrophosporales; Entrophosporaceae
Description: uncultured Claroideoglomus partial small subunit ribosomal RNA
Rfam family: Eukaryotic small subunit ribosomal RNA
Source: RNAcentral
CCAAUAGCGUAUAUUAAAGUUGUUGCAGUUAAAAAGCUCGUAGUUGAAUUUCGGGAUUGACACAUCGGUCGUGCCUUAAGGGGUGUGAACUGGUGUAGUCAAUUUCUCACCUUCUGGAGAACCGCGAUGUCCUUAAUUGGGUGCCGCGAGGAACCAGGACCUUUACUUUGAAAAAAUUAGAGUGUUUAAAGCAGGCAUUUUUGCUUGAAU